GACGAACGCUGGCGGCGUGCCUAACACAUGCAAGUCGAGCGGAGAUUAUAGCAAUAUAAUCUUAGCGGCGGACGGGCGAGUAACGCGUGGGCAACCUGCCUCAUACUGGGGGAUAACACUGGGAAACUAGUGCUAAUACCGCAUAAUAUCACUAGAUGGCAUCAUUUGGUGAUCAAAGGAGCAAUCCGGUGUGAGAUGGGCCCGCGUCCGAUUAGCUAGUUGGUGAUGUAACGGACCACCAAGGCGACGAUCGGUAGCCGAACUGAGAGGUUGAUCGGCCUCAUUGGGACUGAGACACGGCCCAGACUCCUACGGGAGGCAGCAGUGGGGAAUAUUGCGCAAUGGGGGAAACCCUGACGCAGCAACGCCGCGUGAAGGAUGAAGGUCUUCGGAUUGUAAACUUCUUUGAUUGGGGACGAAUAAUGACGGUACCCAAAAAACAAGCCACGGCUAACUACGUGCCAGCCGCCGCGGUAA
Molecule: ribosomal RNA, 477 nt
Filed under: uncultured bacterium
Lineage: Bacteria
Description: partial 16S ribosomal RNA
Rfam family: Bacterial small subunit ribosomal RNA
Source: RNAcentral